Molecule: long non-coding RNA, 300 nt
Filed under: Homo sapiens (human)
Lineage: Eukaryota; Metazoa; Chordata; Mammalia; Primates; Hominidae
Description: long non-coding RNA NONHSAT153769
Source: RNAcentral
GAAGCUGUUUCUGGUCUAGAAAUGAAGUGUUGUCAUGUUCACAUCCAGCCAGCUUGGGGUCUGAAGGGAAGUGUACAAUCUGUGAGAAGACUGUGUGCUACUCUGCAAAUUGCAGAUAAUUACUCUGAACAGAGAAGUCCUUUGAAGUUGCUGCAUGAGGUCAGUAGAAAGUGUGUGAAGCACCCACAUGAAAUGAAUCUUUUGUUCAUUACUUCUGUGCUCACAGAGGGGUUGACUGCAUUGGGUUAUUCAUCUUCUUUCCCUAUGGAAACUGACUGUGGAGUUCUGUGCCAGGCCCAG